AUUGAACGCUGGCGGCAGGCCUAACACAUGCAAGUCGAGCGGAUGAAGGGAGCUUGCUCCUGGAUUCAGCGGCGGACGGGUGAGUAAUGCCUAGGAAUCUGCCUGGUAGUGGGGGAUAACGUCCGGAAACGGGCGCUAAUACCGCAUACGUCCUGAGGGAGAAAGUGGGGGAUCUUCGGACCUCACGCUAUCAGAUGAGCCUAGGUCGGAUUAGCUAGUUGGUGGGGUAAAGGCCUACCAAGGCGACGAUCCGUAACUGGUAUGAGAGGAUGAUCAGUCAGACGGGAACUGAGACACGGUCCAGACUCCUACGGGAGGAAGCAGUGGGGAAUAUUGGACAAUGGGCGAAAGCCUGAUCCAGCAAUGCCGCGUGUGUGAAGAAGGUCUUAGGAUGGUAAAGCACUUUAAGUUGGGAGGAAGGGCAGUAAGUUAAUACCUUGCUGUUUUGACGUUACCAACAGAAUAAGCACCGGCUAACUUCGUG
RNAcentral lists this ribosomal RNA (484 nucleotides) under uncultured bacterium. Its description in RNAcentral is "partial 16S ribosomal RNA". It matches the Rfam family "Bacterial small subunit ribosomal RNA", at positions 30 to 507 of the family's 1533-position model. The record is from RNAcentral.